GACGAACGCUGGCGGCGUGCUUAACACAUGCCAGUCGAACGGAAAGGCCCUGCUUUUGUGGGGUGUUCGAGUGGCGAACGGGUGAGUCACACGUGCGUAACCUGCCCUUGACUUUGGGAUAACUUCAGGAAACUGGGGCUAAUAACGGCUAGGAGCUCCUGCUGCAUGGCGGGGGUUGGAAAGUUUCGGCGGUUGGGGAUGGACUCGCGGCUUAUCAGCUUGUUGGUGGGGUAGUGGCUUACCAAGGCUUUGACGGGUAGCCGGCCUGAGAGGGUGACCGGCCACAUUGGGACUAAGGGACGGCCCAGAAGCCAACGGGAGGCAGCAGUGGGGAGUAUUGCAGAGUGAGCGGAAGCCAGAGGCAGCAACGCCGCGUGCGGGAUGACGGCCUUCUGGUUGUAAACCGCAUGCGCAGUUGACGAAGCGUGAUUGACGGUAAUGAAUAAAGAAGCACCGGCUAACUACGUG
This 468-nucleotide ribosomal RNA is filed under the name uncultured bacterium. Its description in RNAcentral is "partial 16S ribosomal RNA". It matches the Rfam family "Bacterial small subunit ribosomal RNA", at positions 28 to 507 of the family's 1533-position model. The record is from RNAcentral.